Molecule: ribosomal RNA, 262 nt
Filed under: uncultured bacterium
Lineage: Bacteria
Description: partial 16S ribosomal RNA
Rfam family: Bacterial small subunit ribosomal RNA
Source: RNAcentral
UACGUAGAGUGCAAGCGUUAUCCGGAUUUAUUGGGCGUAAAGAGCUCGUAGGCGGUUUGAAAAGUCUUUGGUCAAAGACUCAAGCUCAACUUGAGGCAGGCCUUAGAUACUUUUAAACUUUGAGGAAAGCAGGGGAGAGCGGAACUUGCGGUGUAGGAGUGAAAUCCGUUGAUAUCGCAAGGAACACCAAUGGCGAAGGCAGCUCUCUAGGCUUUACCUGACGCUGAGGAGCGAAAGCGUGGGUAGCGAACGGGAUUAGAAA